GAUGAACGCUGGCGGCGUGCUUAACACAUGCAAGUCGAACGGGAUCCACCGGGCUUUGCUUGGUGGUGAGAGUGGCGAACGGGUGAGUAAUGCGUGACCGACCUGCCCCAUACACCGGAAUAGCUCCUGGAAACGGGUGGUAAUGCCGGAUGCUCCAGUUGAUCGCAUGGUCUUCUGGGAAAGCUUUCGCGGUAUGGGAUGGGGUCGCGUCCUAUCAGCUUGACGGCGGGGUAACGGCCCACCGUGGCUUCGACGGGUAGCCGGCCUGAGAGGGCGACCGGCCACAUUGGGACUGAGAUACGGCCCAGACUCCUACGGGAGGCAGCAGUGGGGAAUAUUGCACAAUGGGCGCAAGCCUGAUGCAGCGACGCCGCGUGAGGGAUGGAGGCCUUCGGGUUGUAAACCUCUUUUAUCGGGGAGCAAGCGAGAGUGAGUUUACCCGUUGAAUAAGCACCGG
RNAcentral lists this ribosomal RNA (457 nucleotides) under uncultured bacterium. RNAcentral's name for it is "bacterial SSU rRNA". It matches the Rfam family "Bacterial small subunit ribosomal RNA", at positions 28 to 496 of the family's 1533-position model. The record is from RNAcentral.